This is a non-coding RNA of Podarcis lilfordi (Lilford's wall lizard), 30555 nucleotides long. Lineage: Eukaryota; Metazoa; Chordata; Lepidosauria; Squamata; Lacertidae. The record is from the annotation of a GenBank genome assembly.
GAAAGUUUUUCCUAAGGUUGAGUCAGAAUUUCCUUUCCUGCUGUUUGAAUCGACUGGAUCUAUUGAAUCCACCUUCUGAAGCAGCAGAAAACAAGCUUGCUCUGUUGUCCAUGUGGCAGCCUUUCAGACGUUUGAAGAUGGCGACCAGGUGAGGUGAGGUGAAAAGAAAUGUACACUGUAUUUUAAGGGCAGAUUUCACCACAGAUUUGUGUAACAGCAUCAUGAUAAGUAGAGACAUAUAGGAGCCAACUCCUAGGGGCCGAGGUGCCUUCGGCACACCCAAUAAAAUAUUUGAGGGGUCUGGACCCCCUAAAAGUUGAUGGUCAUUGCCAUUCAAAUGGCGUGCAUGCGCCGCCACACACAAUCUUGUGAUCAGUACUGUGGGGUGGGGUUUACCUGGCCACCCCCAUAUUUUAUUAAAGUUGGCACCCCUGAGUAGAGAUAAAUCGUGGCAGACGGGUUAGCCUGGAUCUUUUCAAAAGCGCCCGGACUUUAUUUCUCAGCACAUUCUUGCCAAAUCACAAAUGAGGGGGAAAACCCAGGUUUGGUGAAUGGGCCUGUAUCGUCUGUGGCCUGCGUCUCGUAUCAGAGAGAGAGAGAGAGAGAGUCAUCGUAUCCUGAGCUCAUAACCUCUAUUUCCUCCUUGAAACCUGGGUCAUAGCGGUACUUAGCUAAAUUAUAUAACUGCAAACAAAGUGUGACAGCUUUAUUUGUAAUUAUACUGCAUUUAAAGGGAACAAGAUGAGCUUAAUGAGUUAAUAAAGUGGCUGUCUGUCAAAGCCCCGCUGCUUUGCAUAGAAAGAUCUCCCUGGUCCCUCCAGAGGCAGACAGGGCCCAGAGCUCAUGAAUAUGCAUCGGGGCCUGUCAAGGAGGGUGAAGGCGGCUCGCCAUGGCAACGGGCCUGCAGGUAGCGGCUUUGAGGCCAGCUGCCCCGAGAGGUCCCAGGCGGCUUGUACAAAGUGAAGACUUGCGAGGGGGCGCUCGUUUUGUCUUUGGCGCUCUCGACAAAACAAAGACAACUCACUCCUUUGGUUGCCUGCCACAUUUUUUAUUCAUAAACAAGCUGUUGCCUGUACUGACAUGAUAAAGCUCAGAGUCUGAGGGGGGAGGCAAACAUCUGAAUGCAAAUCCUCGUCUGGUACAAAUCCAUAUUAUUAUACGCCAGCUAUUCUUCCUCUCCACCGACGACAACCCCCCACCACACACACACACACACACACACACACACACACUUUCCGUUUUUGCCUUGUGCUAAGCUAGGCAGGAUCUUGGUUCGAGACAGGCCUCAGACCCCAGUCGUAGCAGUGCUGGGGUGGAAAGAAAAAUCGAACACACCGGCAUGCAAAGAAAGGCCACCGUCCUUUGCGUGAUUCCUGAGGAGAGAGCCAGAGUGAAAACCGUGGGGCUUCUUUCCAGGGAUGGAGGAGGAUUUUGAUUCAGUUUUCAUCGAAAGGAGAACAUACCUAAUUUGCAGUAUCGGAAAUGGUAUGCGAACCCCAAAGCAACUGUCCUUCAAAAUCCUCACAUCUCCGAAUUUUAAGAUGCAAUUAUCCGGCAAAGAAAUGCAUACAAAAUGCACACAUUAGGGUAAAGUUGUUGUUGUUGAGUCGUUUAGUCGUGUCCGACUCCUCGUGACCCCAUGGACCAGAGCACUCCAGGCACUCCUGUCUUCCACUGCCUCCCGCAGUUUGGUCAGACUCAUGCUGGUAGCUUCGAGAACACUGUCCAACCAUCUCGUCCUCUGUCAUCCCCUUCUCCUUGUGCCCUCCAUCUUUCCCAACACCAGGGUCUUUUCCAGGGAGUCUUCUCUUCUCAUGAGGUGGCCAAAGUAUUGGAGCCUCAGCUUCACGAUCUGUCCUUCCAGUGAGGGUAAAGUAUGGAUAGAAAAUGCAGAUAUUAGCGGAAAUAACGUAAAAAAAUGCAUUCUUUUAGGGAAAAUGCAAAAAGAGAGGGUGCAUUAGGGGAAAAUGUAUAUCGUAGGAGAGAUUUGCACUGAAAUGCUGAUAGAUUUCAUGAGGACUUAAAAACAACAACCUCAAAUUUAUUUGGGAAGAUGAAGAAUUGAACUCAAGACUGGAAAAAUGAGUGAAUCAGAACAAGCGAAUUGAAAGACCGCUGUCCUAGGAAAUUCACACUUCUCUAAAUGUUGCAAAACAGUUCUCUAAAUAAAUAAUAAUGGUUUGUAGCCAGCGCUCAUCCUCCUCAGAGUAGAACUGUUGAAAGGAUAUGACUGACUUGGGUCCAUUAAUUUCCGUGGGUCUUUCUGAGUAGAAUUUAGUUUGAUGCAACCCAAUCGGUAACAAACACUGCACAUAUUUGACGGAAGGGUGCCUAAGCAUUCAUAUGUUGGUGGAAAUAACAUCAUAAAGGCAAUAGGGGAAAUUGCAAAAAUAUAUUUAUUGAGGGAAAACUGCAUUCACAAAUGUGCACAUUAGAGGAAAUGAGCACUGAAAUGCUGAUGAAUUUCCAUCACUGUUUCAUAUACAAAAAAGUCAAACUGAUGUGGAAAUGUGGAAACGGAAAAGUGAGAAACUGAGAGAAAACCCAAAUGGAAAGAUUGGUCCAAGGCUAUGCAGAGGAUCAUACUACCAGUGAGUGGAUCUAGGGAGAUAGGCUUCAGACUUGUUUAGUUAGCCGGUUUCCGGUCUCCUGAUUAACACAGUGUUUAAUUAAACUGAUCUCUGUUUAGUCACACACUUGUUUGCUGAGGGCGAUAACCAGUUUUAAGUCACUCCUAGAGUCAACUGACUGAAAUCAGUGAACGUGACUAAAUGUAGGUCCAAUUAAUUCUAACGGGUCUACUUUUGACUACAAUGUAGGUCUGCAUCUGCACUAUUCAUUUAAAGCACUAUUGGACCACUUUAUACAGGCAUGGCUUCCCCCGCAAAGAAUCCUGGGAAGUGUAGUUUGUUAAGGGUGCUGAGAGUCAUUAGUAGACCCCCUGUUCCCUUCACAGAAUAGUAUAUCAGUCAAUCCCUCUUCCCAGCGAAUUCUGUGAAUUGUAGAUCUGCGAGGGGAUGGGGGAUCUCCUAACAAUUCUCAACACCCUUAACAAAUGAGAGUUCCCAGGAUUCUUUGGGGGAAGAAGCCAUGGCUUCUAAAAGUGGUAUGAACAUGAGCCUCUUAAUCAUAGAGUCGUGGGUUUGAACCCCACGUUGGGCAAAGAGAUUCCUGCAUUGCAGGGGGGGGGGGUAGACUAGAUAAACCUCGUGGUCCCUUCCAACUCUACAACUCUAUGAUUUUAUGAAAUAGAUAGUGCAGAUGGAGUGGGGUGCCCUAGAACAGACACCCCAGUACUGGUUUGCCUUUCUUUUCCUCCAUUCAGGGAAGAAAGAGGCAUGAUCAGAGUUCAAGGACACAUUCCAGCCAGCAAAAACACUCAAGGAGGGUGUGAGGCAGGGCCAGUGAGGGUCAGGGCCUGGGGAGAGGCAUCCAAGGGCCAGGCUUCAUCCCCUGGACCUGAGUUUCCCAACCCUGGAACUAUAAUAAUAUGAGAAACCCAAGCAGGACUUCUGCUUCAGCACUGAAGCCCAGAAUGACUGGCGGUUCCUCGGCCCGUUGACUUCUCUCACGGGGCCUUUCUGGAGUGUUCUGGCAGCCGUGAUCCAAUCAAUGCUGGGCCCUCUGGUUGUGGACAGGAGCUGAGGCUUAAUCCUAAUCUAUAUUGACCGCUCAUUUCUACGUCUGCCAAUUUGCAUCAGGGUCUUAUCUUAAGCAAUGAUGCAAGCCUGUCCCAUUCUCUCACAGGAAUCUAUAAUCAGAGGGCGGGGGAAUUCCCCCCUCUCCUCCUGGCUUUCUUGUUAACGUCCAUUCUGAUGAAAAACACGCUGAUCUACCAGAGAGGUGCUGGGAUGCGUCUGUCUUAAUAUUUAUCCACUUUCAUCUCCAAUCUGUUUAGUCUCUCCAAAUGCCUCUUUGCCAAGGCAAGGACUCUGUGGAAGCUUGUUCCCAAGUUAUGGAUCGUUUGAGUUUUAGGAGCCCAGCUGAAUGGAUCAGAACUGUUCUCAUAGGUGGAGUUCAUCCAUUUUUGGUUUUUUGGGGGGCGAUGGAUGGAACUGUGCAUCUGGACAAACUUGGUACCAUUCCCAAAAGAGGUGUCGAAAAGGAUGAAAAAGGAGAUGGGGCGGCAAGGAACAGCGCUACAGAUUUAGUGUUAGCAAAUGUUAGAAAUUGGUAAAGUGCUAGAAUUUAGUAGGUAAUAUUUGGUGUACGGAAUGGAAGAUUCCAGGCCAGUGGACAAAUACAGGCUAAUCUUCCUUUCCAACUCAGGGCCUCACCUGGGAUAGAGGCUGCUAACAUGACAAAAGGUGUUGAUGGCCCAUUACAGAGAAAUCCCUGGUUCUUUCCCAACAGAAGUUGCCAAGGUUAUGCUGAGCAAUGGCGUAGGUUGUAGGGAAAUCCCAGUUCUAACCACUUCACCCCAUAAAUACCCCCUGACAGAACACGGCCACCUACAGCCUUAUCCCCUAUGGAUCUGCCUAACACCCUUAUAAAGCCACCUAGGGUUUUUGUGUCUGUGUAUAUGUAUAUAUAUAUGUAUAUAUAUAUAUAUAUAUAUAAAUUGAUGUGGGUGGCGCUGUGGGUUAAACCACAGAGCCUAGGACUUGCUGAUCAGAAGGUCGGCGGUUUGAAUCCCUGCGACGGGGUGAGCUCCCAUUGCUCGGUCCCUGCUCCUGCCAACCUAGCAGUUUGAAAGCACGUCAAAGUGCAAGUAGAUAAAUAGGUACCGCUUCAGCAGGAAGGUAAAUGGCGUUUCCAUGCGCUGCUCUGGUUCGCCAGAAGCGGCUUAGUCAUGCUGGCCACAUGACCCGGAAGCUGUACGCCGGCUCCCUCGGCCAAUAAAGCGAGAUGAGCGCCGCAACCCCAGAGUCGGCCACGACUGGACGUAAUGGUCAGGGGUCCCUUUACCUUUACUAUAUAUGUAUGUAUAUAUAUAUAUUAAAUAUACAACUUUUAAUUGCAAGUUUCUAGAUCUCAUGGUUGCAAGGACAAGCUUUAAAAGAUUCCACCCCCCCAAAAAAACCCAUUGCGUGGCUAAAGGCUCGUGCGAGGCCUGAGUCUUGUGCCUGCGUUGCAUUCUGUCACCAAUUUCUGAUUAGCUCUGGAUGGCCUGAGUUUAGGUGGUAAUUUACAGCUGCACCUGACCCCGGCUCCCCUUCUGCUUCCAAAAAGCCGGCAAGAGAGGGACCACACGGCUUGGACCGUGACUGCUGCCCAUAAACAUGAUUUAUCGCAGGCCUUUAGGGAGAGACACUACCUCUCUCGGCAUCAAGUUAUUUUACCAGAUGGACUGUCUGUUACGCCAGCGAUAAGCCUGGACAGUGACUUAGCUGAUCACAAAAAGCUGCCUCGUAUCUCUCUCUCCCCCCCCCCCCGGCCCCAAUUCCUUCCCUCCCGUGCUCCUCUGGGUGCGUUUGAGCAAGCUGGUCAGACAUGGCCUGCCACAGCGGAAUACACACAGGUCUGAUGUUUUUUAAUGGGUGAGAUUUGCGUGUUUUAACACAGGGGUGUGGAACCUCAGAUCCAGGGGGCCAAAUGUGGCCCUCCAGGUCUUCCAAGCUGGCCCUCAAAACUCUUCCUGGGCUACACCCCUGACCAGCCCUGCUCUGCACCCUCCUCAUGGGUUUUUUCCUAGGCUGGAACAUGCCCUUGCACUCUGAUCUUUCUUCUCGCUUGAUGGGAGACAGAGUAAGAGGCAAAGGUAAAGUUCGCCUUACUUGCUCCUCCCACUCUUGCCUCUGGCCCCGCCCACCAUUGCCAUGCCCUGCCCCUCCCCUGAAGGUUACACACAGAAAGUAACAGGGCUCUCAGGCUGAAAAAGUUUCCCCCAAUCCCCCAGAUAAAAGACGAGCACAGAAUGUGGCAUUCAGCAGCUCUUUGGAGUUCGCUGGCAUCCUGAGAAUUUCAGCUUUGAUUGAAAAACAAGUUCUCAGUCCUUAAGGCUGCGAGAGAAGCUUGAAAGGCCAAUGACUGGUGAAGUCUCCAAAGCCAGGUAAGGACAGAACAGGAAUCCCAUUGGCCAGACUGACUGGAGCUGAUGGAAUCCAACGAGAUCUUGCGGGCCACGGGAUCCCCAUCGCUUAUUUGUUUUGAUAACACUUCCCGGAGGAUUGGACUUGGCUGUGCUUGCUGUUAAUGCAUGUGAACUGUAGAAGAUGCAUUUUUAAAAAAGGUUUUGUUGUGCUUGGGGCAUCCCAGUCAGAUGGAUGGGAUAUAAAUACAGUGGUACCUCGGGUUACAUACGCUUCAGGUUACAGACUCCACUAACCCAGAAAUAGUACCUUGGGUUAAGAACUUUGCUUCAGGAUGAGAACAGAAAUUGUGCAGCAGUGGUGCGGCGGCAGCAGGAGGCCCCAUUAGCUAAAGUGGUGCUUCAGGUUAAGAAGAGUUUCAGGUUAAGAAUAGACCUCCGGAACGAAUUAAGUUAUUAACCCAAGGUACCACUGUAUAGCAGCAGCAGCAGUAGCCGUUCCUAUUUUUAUUGCAGAAAUGUUGGAGAGUAUGAUAUCCCACUUUUCCUCCUAAGAGCUCAGUGUGGUAUGAAUGGUUCUUCCCUCUUUCCCCCACUUGUCAGCCUCAAAAAUCCUCAAACACAACCCUGAGAAGUAGGCUGGGCUGAGAGACAGUGGCUGUCCUAGGGGAGCUUUGUGGCAGAGCAGAGAUUUGAACUCUGGUGGCUGCAGGUUCUAGUCCAGCUUUCUAACCAUGAGACUUGCAGGCCACCACUGCUGGUAAGCCUGGGACUCCCUGUACAUGGGGAUCAUCAAUACAGUACAGGAUCAGACCCAUAGAAGGCCCUUUGCGAGUAGCUAGCCCUGGUCCGUGGAACGGGCACCAGCCUGAGCAGCAAGCAGGUGGAAAAUAAGAAAUCUCUCUCACACAAAUAUGCUAAAUGACGAGACCCUCCACCUCCAACACCCCCCCCACCCCGGCCACCCAUCUUUUAGCUGCGGUCUUCAUCCCUCGGCAUAGAGAACAGGCCUGUUCAUCCGCCAACCGUAGAAAAUCUCAAUUUCCCACAUAAAAAUAUUAGCGCUUGGGCUUAAAAUAUUAACAUUUGGAUUGCGUUGCCCUUGGAAGCUCGGGGCUUGAAUCGGAGUUUGGCAUCAGCAGUUUAGACACAGAUACGGCUUUUUUUAAUAAAAAUAUUUUUUUAAAAGACUGUAAGCGUGGCAGCUUUUCAGCGUGCAUUAUUUCACAGAGAAAGGUGUCUUUAAAAGGGAUAUGAUGAGGGAAGGGGGAGGAGGAGAGGGAUGGGCUGUGCUUUGCGAUAUUAUGGUAGCUCUCUCACAUUGGUAUUACACAGUCUAAAUUCAGCUAAAGGGAUUGCAAUGGCUGCCAGUUAGUUCCUGGGUUAAGUUCAAGGUGCUGGCACUGGGGCGCAGAGCCCUAUAUAGCUUGGGGCCAGGAUACCUGGGGGGAUGUCUCACCCCUUGCAAACCUGGCUGGCUACGGAGAGGCAGAUCCCAUCUUAUCACGAGGUCUGCUCUUUAUGGUGGAAGAACAGGGCCUUUGCUGUGGUGGCACCCGUGCUUUGGAGCUCUCUCCUACAUUUCUCAGAUGAAAAUAGUGACAGCCUAUGCUACACCAGGAAGCUUCUCCCUUGUUUGAUCUCCCUCUUGUGGGCCAGGUGUCAGCUUUGCCUGCUGAAGCUAAAGGGCAGGCAUAGGCAAACUUGGCCCUCCAGAUGCUUUGGGACUACAACUCCCAUCAUCCCUGACCACUGGUCCUGUUAGCUAGGGAUGAUGGGAGCUGUAGUCCCAAAAAACAUCCGGAGGGCUGAGUUUGCCUAUGCCUGCUGAAGGCUGUGCUGGUCCCGGGGGCUAACUGAGAGGCGAGGUCCGAGUCCAGUCUGAGGUCGAGGGUGCGGUAUGGAGGCUGUCCAUCAAAGCUGUAGCUGGGUCCAAGGUGGGGAGUCAGGUGGGGUCAGGAACUCUGGCAGAAGAGCAGGACAGGGUGCAGGCAGGAACAGGCUAGCAACAACGUUGCUCCCACACCCUGGGACUGGGGCUGACUGGCUUUUAUCUGCCCCAAGGCAUAGGGCGGCCCCGGUCCACAGGUGACUUGCCUCUCCUGGCCUGGAGGCGAGCACUCCUCCUGCGGGAACUUAGUUCCCUCCGCCUCUCUGCCCUGAGCCUCUGCAGCUCAGGAGAGGCUGGGGGGUUACUGGACCCAGAGGCAACCUCCUCUUCCCCUGAUGGGGCUGAGAGUGGAGCACCUGCAGGCAAUGGGUCCUCCAUCACCUCAGGGGCUAGAGCAGACUCAGCUGGUGCCUGCACUUGAGGAUCCAGCACGGGUGAGGACCCUUCAGGCUCAGGCCCCAGCCCCGGCUCAGCUGGUUCUGGAGGCAGGGCCUCUUGUGCAGGCUGGGAUUCCUCAGGUUCAGCCUCCGAGUCUGAAUCCCAGGCCAUCACAAAGGCAGAGUGACUCCACCUGCAGCUGAUCAGCCUUCAAGGACACAGAGGAGAAGGCACUGGAGACCCACCUGGCUUCAGCCUUCUUAACCUUCUUAACCAGAGCUCUCAGCAGCAGUCAGAUGCUGGAAACAACGCCUGUGGUUCCUGGUCCCACCUCCCUGCUUCCUGCUCUCUGUCUGGACCCUUGAUUGUCUGACUACGUGGAUUGCUGUUUGCCUGACCGUCGGAACGGACUUGACUCUGCCAAGCAUAUCUCAGAGACCCUUAUCUUUGAAGUGGGGAAUCCCUUAUCUUUGAAGUGGCUGCUGUGCACGCCACACUUUUCAAGGGUGCAACUUCCCCCAAGGAAUCCUGGGGACUAGUUUAAGCCUACAAUCCCCAGUAUGCCUAACAAACUACAGUUCCCAGGAUUCCUUGAGGCUUUGGUGGGGGAAGUCAUGUGCUUUAAAUGUGCGGUGUGUACACAGCCCCAAGUGUGCAUCUGUAUUGGAUUUGGAGUUGUUUUUACACAUGGAAGUGUUUUUAAUUGUUUUUAAUUGCUUCGUUUUAAAUUGUUAUAAUUGCUUUUAUAUAUUAGAAAUGGGGCAAUUGUCUUUAUUGCUGAUGUUUUUAUUGGGAAACCGCUUCAGGGCAUUUUACGGGAAGCGAUUUAACAAAGGGGCUCAAAAAUAAAACUAAAACUAAAUGGGGAAUAAUUGCCAGCGGUCUGGUCCUUUUCAGCCUAAAAGCCUGUGAGAUUUCUCCACUCUGCUUUCUUCAAUUCCUAAAGAUGUAUUUGCAUUAAAGGAUGUAAGCUGCCCUAUGAAGGUUGGAGUGUGUGCAGGAGGUAUUAAGGACAAGAAAUAUAUCUGGGGUUGGAUAAGCUGGAAUAUAAAAUUCUGUAUGAUCAAUGCAGAUCCUAUAGACCAGCUGCAUUUUCAAAAGUUGGCAGACUAACCUUUGCACAUGGUUUUAGACAGCAGAGGCAGAACACCCUGCUAAGGAAACACAGAAAGCUUCCUUCUACUGAGGCAGACCAUUGAUCCAUCUUGCUCAAUACUGUCUAUACUGACCGGCAGUGACUCUCCAGGAAUUCAGGCAGGGAGCCUCUUUACCUGGAGAUGCCGGGGAUUGAACCGGGAAUCUUCUGCACUCAAGAUACAUGCUCCACCCACUGAGCUAUGGCCGCUUCUUCACCACCUGUUACGUGCCCAGCUUAAGUGCCCACAGAAUCCUUCCUUCAAUCCAGACAGGCCAUUUUGUUGUUGUUGUUUAGUCGUUUAGUCGUGUCCAACUCUUCAUGACCCCAUGGACCAGAGCACGCCAGGCACUCCUGUCUUCCACUGCCUCCCGCAGUUUGGUCAAACUCAUGCUGGUAGCUUCGAGAAGACUGUCCAAUCAUCUCGUCCUCUGUCGUCCCCUUCUUCUUGUGCCCUCCAUCUUUCCCAACUUCAGGGUCUUUUCCAGGGAGUCUUCUCAUGAGGUGGCCAAAGUAUUGGAGCCUCAGCUUCAGGAUCUGUCCUUCCAGUGAGCACUCAGGGCUGAUUUCCUUCAGAAUGGAUAAGUUUGAUCUUCUUGCAGUCCAUAGGACUCUCAAGAGUCUCCUCCAGCACCAGAAUUCAAAAGCAUCCAUUCUUCGGCGAUCAGCCUUCUUUUUGGUCCAGCUCUCACUUCCAUACAUCACUACUGGGAAAACCAUAGCUUUAACUAUACGGACCUUUGUUGGCAAGGUAUUGUCUCUGCUUUUUAAGAUGCUGUCUAGGUUUGUCAUUGCUUUUCUCCCAAGAAGCAGGCGUCUUUUAAUUUCGUGGCUGCUGUCACCGUCUGCAGUGAUCAGACAGGCCACAGCUCAGCUCUAAUCAGAAGCAUUUAUCUAGGGCCUACUACAACUCCCAUCACCUCCAACUGCUGCCUAUGCUAGCUGGGGGCUGAUGGGUUGGAGUCCAGGGACACUUGGAGGGCCACAGAUGCUCCCCACCUUUGCUUUUAAAGGAGUGACAUCAGUUUCUAGCAUCCUGCCUAUGAAACCCCUGGGGACCCCCCCAAAAAAGCUUUUUUUUGGCAAAGAUCUGUUGGGGGUGCAGUGUAGAAUCACAUGCUCAUAGAAUUGCAGAGUUGGAAGAGACCUUGCAGUGGCAGACUUUGGUAAUACGGUGCCCUGAGAGAAGACAAAAUUUGGCGCCCCCCCCGCAGUGGAUCCAGUGGUCUACUUGGAGGUUGGCAGUAGAGCAGCAGGGAGGAGGAGAACUCCCUGCCCCAUCCAGCCCCCAUGCUUAUCUUCAGUGGGGAGGGGGGCUGUGUGUACCCACCAGCUGCCCUCUCACCACUGGAAGGCUUCCCAGGAUUGAGUCCUCCGCAGGCCUGCAGCUCAGGGAGUGAGAUGAGGAGGAGGAGGAGGAGGAGGAGGAGGAGGAGGAAGCAGCGACUGGAGCUGUACCAGCUCCGAGCGUUAUUUUAUUACUUUGUUUUCUUAGAUUUCUAUACCACCCUUCAUCACAAGAUCUCAAGGCGGUUCACAAGAUAAAAACAAGGCAAAAGCACAAAUACAAUACAAAAUACAAAAACCCCCAAAAUAAUAACCCCUUCCACCCCCCAAACACCAAACCAUGAGGAUGCCUCAACACCUUGUGCAGGGGAACUGCCUGCAUCACCCUAAAUCCCUAAAUUCACAUCCUAAGCCCUUUUAAAAUGUGCUUUUUUGGGGUGGGGGGUGUUAUUGGGUGGUUGUUUUUAUUUUUACAGUGGAACCUCGGGUUGCGAAUGUGAUCCGUGCGGGAGGCACGUUUGCAACCCGCAGUGCCGUGUCUGCGCAUGCACGUGACGCGACUCGGUGGUUCUGUGCAUGUGGGAGCACCGAAACCCAGAAGUAACCCGUUCCGGUACUUCCAGGUUCGGUGAAUCCAUAACCAGAAAACGCGCAACCCGCAGCGUUCACAACCCGAGGUAUGACUGUAUUAUGUAUUUUGUGGUUUUGUAUCUUGAUUUUAUUCUGUGAACCACCUUGAGACCACCCUGGGUAUAGGGCGGUAUAUAAAUUCAACUAAUAACCACCACCACCACCACCACAAUAAUAAACCCACACUGGGAUGCCGAGGGUCAUCAAAUCCAAGCCUCUGGCAUGCAGGAAUCACAGCUAAAGAAUUCCUGGCAGGUGGUUUUGCGGUCGCACUUGUUUCAUGAAAGUCAUUUCCAAAUAAAGUUGCGCUCAAGGGCAUAGCCACCCCAUAUGAAAGAAAGAGGCUGGUCCUCAUGAAAAUCCACCAGUGUUUUAGUGCAGAUUCCUCCCAUUCCCAACAUAUUUGCCCAAUUUUUCGAAGGAGGCCUGCAUUUUGGUCCGUACAUUUCCCUGGAAAGUGCGGAAUUAGGUAGUUUCGCCACCGAAUUGAAUAUCCACCCCAACCAGCCUAGAUGUCACCUAAAUAAAAAAGGAAGUGUGUGUGUGCGCGUGUGUGUAGGGGAAUAUAUGUACUUUUGGCAGCUGUCAAAAAGGACCCAGGGAAGUUAGAGAGAGAGAGAGAGCUGACUCUUGCCAAAGGUUGACCAUCGGAGAUGAGACACCCACUUCCAUCCCCCCCCCAUCUUGUAACUUUCUGUGAAAUCCCGCUGCAUCCCAGCCCUGGAGCGCCAUUACUAUUCCGGCCGUAGCCUUCCCAAGGAAAAUAGAAGCAGCAGAUUGAGGCCUGUUUUCAUAUUUGAUGGAGGACUAGAUAAAUGGCAGUCAGGUUGCAUUGAUAAGGCCCUGCUCUGGGGCCUAACCUCUCUCUCAGAAAGCCUCUUACUAUUCAUAGAGGAGAGCUAUCUGUACAGCUGCACCUUGACACAAAUAUAUCUGCACCUCAGAUGAACCAAUUCGCCCAGAAAUUACAGCACUGGGGAUUGCAUCUGUUGGAGGAAGGUGGCGGGGGAGAGAAGCUAAGGAGGGGGACGAAUGCAAGAAUUGCCUCUCCUCCCCGCCACCCUCAUGCCUCUUUUCAACUCUCGGCCAAAUAGCCUUUCCGAGAAGCAAGCUUUCUCCCCAUCACUUUUGCAGAAGUUUGUGGUUUUGGCGGAGGAAAGGAGAAGUGAAAAUGGCCUCUUUGACUUACGUGGUCCGAUGCUGCCAGCUUCUGGGAUGCAGGGACAUAGAGGGGCUGUCUCUCACAGAGUCAGGACAUGGGGCCAUUCGGCUCGGGGUUGUUUACACUGGCAGGCAGUGGCUGCCCAGGCAGGGGGCAUUCCCAGCUCUACCUGGAGAUGCUGGGGAUAGAACCCGGGACCUUCUGCAUGCAAAGCAGGUGCUCUGGCCCUGAGCCACACAGCCCUUCCCCAUAGCUGAAUAUCACCUUCGGGAACCCCUCUGAGCUCAAUGUGUUUGUGAGAGAGGCAGCAUCCUAGUCCUCAUGGUUCUGAAUGAAGGGUGGUUCAAAUCGGAACGUAGGAAGCUAUCUGACACUGAGUUAGGUAGUUGUCCCAUCUAGUACAGUGCUGCCGACACUGACUGGCAGCAGCUCUCCAGGGUUUCAAGUGGGCGAAUGGAGGUCUCUUCCAACCUGACCCGCAGAUCCCAGGGAUGGAAGCGGACGCCUUCUGCAUGCACAAGCAGAGCUCCGGUCCUUCAAUUAAAAAUAAAUUAAGUUUCUAGUCCUCAUGCCAGUGCUGAAUCAAACAUGAAAGUAGGAAGCUGCCUUAUACCAAGUUGGACCUCCCCCCCGCCCAAUAGUGUCAAAAUCCACCUAGGAACACUCAAAAUUCCCCUUUCUACUGUGAAAUGUUGGCCCCCUCCUGUUUUCCAUUCCACAGCCAGCUGCAUUUGUCCACCCACCCCCAGUUAUCAGGCUCACGGCUUCGCCGCAUCCCCAGAAGGGAACUCUCAAUGACUUGGCCACAUUUAAAGGCUUUUUGCUGAUGACAUGAGUUUUUUCUUUUCUUUUUUAAUUCGCCGCAGGAGACGCGAGCGGAUAAUUCGUCUGCCCGAGGGGGCAGUGCCGGAGCGGGGAAACGGCCCCCAAGUUGGGGUGGUGUGUGUGUGUGUGGGGGAGAGAGAGCCCUUUACAAUGAGAGUCCCCUUGGGAGCUGGGACCCGAGAUCCUCAUGAUGAUGAUGGAUGCCCGUUGGGGACGCCCCGCAUCUCUCCCCAGAAAAUUAAAAGCCUAUUUGGUGCUCUGCUAACAAUGCACCGCCUGGAAACCUCCCCCUUAUCAAUCAGCCUGGGCUCUUCCUCCUCCUCCUCCUCCUCCUCCUCCCUCUUGAACAACAAAUCGUCCACCUCCGAGAAAUACAUGUGUGCUGCAUUCAAUCUAGAAUCAUAGAAUCAUAGAAUCAUAGAAUCAUAGAAUCAUAGAAUCAUAGAAUCAUAGAAUCAUAGAAUCAUAGAAUCAUAGAAUCAUAGAAUCAUAGAAUCAUAGAGUUGGAAGAGACCACAAGGGCCAUCGAGUCCAACCCCCUGCCAAGCAGGAAACACCAUCAGAGCACUCCUGACAUAUGGUUGUCAAGACUCUGCUUAAAGACCUCCAAAGAAGGAGACUCCACCACACUCCUUGGCAGCAAAUUCCACUGUCGAACAGCUCUUACUGUCAGGAAGUUCUUCCUAAUGUUUAGGUGGAAUCUUCUUUCUUGUAGUUUGGAUCCAUUGCUCCGUGUCCGCUUCUCUGGAGCAGCAGAAAACAACCUUUCUCCCUCCUCUAUGUGACAUCCUUUUAUAUAUUUGAACAUGGCUAUCAUAUCACCCCUUAACCUCCUCUUCUCCAGGCUAAACAUGCCCAGCUCCCUUAGCCGUUCCUCAUAAGGCAUCGUUUCCAGGCCUUUGACCAUUUUGGUUGCCCUCCUCUGGACACAUUCCAGUUUGUCAAUGUCCUUCUUGAACUGUGGUGCCCAGAACUGGACACAGUACUCCAGGUGAGGUCUGACCAGAGCAGAAUACAGUGGCACUAUUACUUCCCUUGAUCUAGAUGCUAUACUCCUAUUGAUGCAGCCCAGAAUUGCAUUGGCUUUUUUAGCUGCCGCGUCACACUGUUGGCUCAUGUCAAGUUUGUGGUCAACCAAGACUCCUAGAUCCUUUUCACAUGUACUGCUCUCAAGCCAGGUGUCCCCCAUCUUGUAUUUGUGCCUCUCAUUUUUUUGCCCAAGUGCAAUACUUUACAUUUCUCUCUGUUAAAAUUCAUCUUGUUUGUUUUGGCCCAGUUCUCUAAUCUGUCAAGGUCGUUUUGAAGUGUGAUCCUGUCCUCUGGGGUGUUAGCCACCCCUCCCAAUUUGGUGUCAUCUGCAAAUUUGAUCAGGAUGCCCUUGAGUCCAUCAUCCAAGUCAUUGAUAAAGAUGUUGAAUAAGACCGGGCCCAAGACAGAACCCUGUGGCACCCCACUAGUCACUCUUCUCCAGGAUGAAGAGGAACCAUUGAUGAGCACCCUUUGGGUUCGGUCAGUCAGCCAGUUACAAAUCCACUGAGUGGUAGCAUAGUCAAGACCACAUUUUACCAGCUUCUUUACAAGAAUAUCAUGAGGCACCUUGUCAAAUGCCUUGCUGAAAUCAAGGUAGGCUACAUCCACUGCGUUCCCUUCAUCUACCAGGCUUGUAAUUCUGUCAAAAAACGAGAUCAGGUUAGUCUGACAUGACUUAUUUUUCAGAAAUCCAUGCUGACAAUCUAAAUGCUUUCCAAUUCGUUUGGACAUUCCCUAUUAAUGCAGAAGGUUGGUUUGUUUUUAAAUUGGUUUAGACCAGCUGUGGGGACGUUUUCUCAGCCUGAGGGCCACAGUCCCUUCUGGGUAACUUUCUGGGGGCCGAAUGACAGUGGUGGGUGGGGCCAGAGGCAAAAGUGGGUGGAGCAUCACAUGCUAAUUUUACCUUGGUACAGUAGACUCGUUCCUCCUCCUCCUCCUCCUCCUCCUCCUCCUCCUCCUCCUCCUCCUCUCUCUCUCUCUCUCUCUCUCUCUCUCUCUCUCUCUCUCUCUCUCCCCCUCUCAUCUCCAUCCUUCCUCCGGGUAAACAAAUGGCUGUGUUAGAGCUCAAGGACACAUUUCCAUCCAGGCAAAAACACCCAAGGAGGAUGUGAAGCAGAUCUAGUGAGGAGCGUUGGUCUGAGGAAAGGGUGUGUGGCCUGCGGACGUUUCCGAGGCCCAGCCCACAGAGGGCAGGCUGCUCAUUUACUAGUGGGGAACUUUUAUAUGCCUGUUGUCUUUGUCCAUGGAGUUUUCUUGGCAGGGAUACUGGAGUGGCAUGCCAGUUCCUGCUCCAGGUGGAUCACGUUUGGUCAAAACUCUCCACUACGACCUGUCCAUCUUGGGUGGCCCUGCACGGCAUAGCUCAUAGCUCCUCUGAGUUAUUCAAGCCCCUUCGCCAUGGCAAACUGACCAAACUGCAGGAGGCCGUGGAAGACAGGAGUGCCUGGCGUGCUCUGGUCCAUGGAGUCACAAAGAGUCGGACACAACUAAAUGACUAAACAACAAAGUGGGGAACUGUGUUUGGCUCUGCCCAGGAAGUUUGAGAAACCCAGUAAUAUUGUGGUUUUUAAAUGGACAGUGUAAUUGUUGAGUUUGGACCUAUCAUGCCAAAGAUCGGGUGAAGUCAUGGCAAAGUCACAUUUUUUUUUUUAAAUGAUAUUUAUUAAAAUUUCAAAAAAAAGAAAGAGAUUACAUUAAUAAGAAAAUUAACAAUAAAAAGGAAAAAUUAACAAUAAAAAGGAAAAAUACAAAAUACAAAAUACAAAGAAAGGAAAAAACAGUUAAAAACAAUUCCAUAUUUUCAUCACUUCUCUUACAUUUACUUAUUUCCCGGACCUCCUCAUACCACCCUCUUUUGUAUUCCAAUUCAGUUUGUUAGUCCAGCAAUUCCUUUCCCUCCUUUUUAAUCCUGAUCUUUAAUCUUGAUAUGUUAUAACAUUAAAUUUUUACGUAUUAGAAACCAAUUUUUCCAUAUUCUUUUAUACCAUUACAGCUAGAAACCACUUAACUUCAAUCCGACAUCAUUCUAACAUUCAUUAAUUUUAGCAAAGUCACAUUUUGGUGCACCAGCUGGAAUCAAAAUGGUGCCCAGUGCCCAAUGACUAAGACUGCCACCCACACCUGGCAACCUUCAUGCUGAGUUGGGCGAUGAUCUCUCAAGAGGCAGCCAGACCGAUGCCAAAGUCGUGUUUUGGCCCACUGUCUCGAUUCAAAAUGGCGCCUGGUGUCCAAAAGGCAACAAAGACCCCCUAUCCCCAUCUUGGGAAGCCUUGUGCAGAGUCUGGGGAUGAUGUCUUGAGAGGCGGCCGAAUGCAUAGAGAACAAACAGACAAACGGCCGAGCCAUUUCUUCAAAUGUAAGAGUAGAUCAGAAGCUACUUAUUUUAUCCCAUUCCUAUCACAGCCUUUGGGCAAAACCGCAUGGACAAUUUCUGCGUUACGAGAAAUGCUGAUGAAUUUUCGUGAGGAUUAAAUUUUUUUUUACAAUAAAUUCACAAACUGAAGUGGAAAUGUGGUGAGAACUGGUUUAAGAUUGUGAAAAAACGGGAAAUGAAGGAGCAUCGCAAUCAACAACUUUGCUUGUCCCUCUUUCUCUCUCUCUGCUUUCCAUUUUUCAAUUGCAUUUGUAGAAAGCAAUUCCUUCCUGAAACCUUUGCUGCACAAUGCCUCCCCCCCCCCGCAAAUCCUGCCACUCUUUGGCUGGUUAUCUGACAUUUUGGCAGCUCCAACUUCCACCGCUGAGUACCACAUGCCCCUAUCACCUCAGGGGUGGGAUGGGCAGCAGGUUUGGCUGAAGAAGGCCGUCCCCAAAUGAUCUGCCUUGCGCAGCCAAAGACCUAAGAGCAAAAUAAAGAAAGAGAGACUCGCACACCUACAAAACAGGGGUCCCAUUAAACGUAAGUAAAUAAACAAGAGAGGAAUGCGCUUGGGCUGAAGGCAGUCCGCACAGGUUUGAAGGUUCGAUCUCUGCCCUCCUCUCCCCAAUUUAUCUCUUGCCCGCUCAACGAUAAAAGUGAAAUUUGGGGUUUCGGUGCCCCCCCUCCACCAUCCCGCCUCACUCGCUAAACUGGCAUCUGUUCUGUGUUCAGUUUGCAGGAGCAGAUGCCUGCUUGCCUGAUCUGUCAGCUGCAAGCUGCCCACAGAUGCCAAACAUUUAGCAAGGCUUCUCCGCCCCCCCACCCCGUCCUCGCAAACGCCACUGCCAGCUUCCUUCUUGGGAAGGUGGCAGAGGAGAGAGCGGGCAGAGGCUGUCACCCUUUGCGAACCGGAUCGGACACACAUGGAAAAGAGAUGCUGUUCAUUCCCCUCCCCCGCUUCCCCACGGCUCCGCAUUGGCCUGAAUAUAAGCCUCACUUUUUUCCAAAUUCCGACCAUGAAACGUUAAAGUGUGGCUUAAAUUCGCGACCUUACAAAAAUUGGCUUUUACGAUUUUGCUGCCGAAACAGACAUACGGUAAAACGGAACGGGUGUGAGUGCCUGCGGAAUUUUAAGGGAGUGGCUUAUAUUCAGGUAUUGUCUUUUUCUCUCUCCACCCCCCCCCCCGAAUUUUAAAGGUGAGGCUUAUAUUCGGGUGCGGCUUAUAUCCGGGCCAAUACAGUACAUUCUGACCUCCUCUGGCACAUAGAAGUCAUGGGGUUGCCAUCAGAGAGACCAGAGAUUGGUGCCAUCUUGGCAGAGGCUGGAAAAGAUGGCCAGGGAUUAGGAAAACACACACACACACACACACACACACACACACACACACACACACAGUGUUAGAUAGGAACAUAGGAUAGCAAGCCACCUUAUACCAAUUGGUCCAUCUGACUUAGUAUUAUUGACACUGUCUGGCAGCAGUUUCCCAGGAUCUCAGCCCUAUCUGGAGCCGCCAAGGAUUGAAAUUUGAACCUUCUGCAUGCCAGGCACCUGUUCCAACACUGAGUUCUGGUCCUUCCCUUGGGAGCAGACGAUUUGGUCCAUGCAGCUCAGUACUGUCUACACGGGCUGGCAGCGACUCACUAGAGCAGGGAGUCUUUCCCAGCCUAUCUGGAGGUCCUGGGGACUGAUCCUGGCAGACAUCUGCACACACUAUCCACUGAGCUACUGGCCAUAGGCUAUGGUUUGACCAACAGCAGGGAUUGUGGGGGACCUGUGGCCCCCUUAGGAACCUGUUGGGCUCCCAUCAGCCCCAGUUGACAUGGUCAAUUGUCAAGGAUGAUGGACUGCUCAGGCAGGCAGGGGCUGGCUGAGAUUGGCGGGGCAGGGCUCAUUGACCCCAGCGGACCGGCCUCCACCAAUCAGAUUGCCUUUGUGGGUGCUGCUGGUAGGAGCACAGAGAGAAGAAACACAGCUGUGCAUUUGCAGCGGCACAACCAGACGCUUUUAUCUGCCCCAGUGGCAACGAAACAUUCGUCUCCCACAUCAGUCUCUGCAGCCACAGCAGGCGCUGCGACUCUCCAACGGUUUGACUUCUCCCCAAAGAUGCACUCCUCCAUUGUCUCCCAAGACAGGAGGAAACCAACAACCAUUUGUCGUAGGACCAAACUCUGGCAAGGAAAACACAUGCCGGGCUCUUUGCUACGUUGCUUUGCAGGACAAAUAAAUUAAAAAACGAAAUGUGCGUGUUCUGUCUCUUUGCAUGUUGGAAAACUAGACCCCCCCCCCAAGAGCUGGCUGGAAAAGAGACAUCUUGCUGAGGCGAGCCCAGAACAAAUGCACAUGUCAACAGCUACAAGUGUGGGCUCUUCAGGCCCCUUGGUGGUGUGGAGCUGUUUAAAUCUCCCCCCCCCCCGAGAUAAAUGUGGCUUUAAUGGACCUUUCACUCUUUUCUUUCUUCCCCUUCUCCCCACAUUGUGCUACGGUGGGGCAGGCAGACGUGUGGACCCGCUGCCUGCACCAGGGUGCCUGGCCCUCCCACCCAGCCGCUCUGCCCCACCCAUCCGUGCAGGCCCCACAAAGAAGGGGUCACUUCUGGUGUCAAGGAGGGUGUGUGCGUGAACCAGCUGAGAAGCUCAGAGCACCGAACGGCACAAAUUUCAGCCACAAUCUGGAACGGAGUAGGUGGGGGGAGGGAGAGGCUCCCCCAACCCGGACGGGAAGUCCCGAAAUGGCAUAUGGCCCUUACUCUAGAGAAUUCCCAUUCAGAGUGCCUGCAAGGGAGAGCCAUAACUCUUUAUGUCCUUUUCCACACCGGCUUGUCUCUCUGUUUGUGGGUUGUGCCUGCUGCAAAAAAAGGAGAAGGAAUUCCUGUGGGCCAUUUUGGAGGGCAAAUAAAGCGGGGGGGGAUGAUGCCCCCCUUUACUUCCCUGACUCCAUCUGCACCGAAACCAAAUGAAGCAUGGAGACCUUGCCUCCUCUGCCUUCCACCAACCCUCCUAUUUCAAAUUUCACAGAAAAUGUCUUUUGUGCAGUCUAGGGAUGGUGGUGGUGGGCCUGUAUCUGGUUUUGUGAUCAAUUUCAUGCCGAUUGCUUCCUGAAACACAUCUGUGGCACCAGCAAGGAGUCUUUCCCCUCUGCCCUAGACAGCCUGUGCCUUAGAAUAGUAGAAUCACAGGAUGGUGGAGUUGGAAGGGACCCCAAAAGUCAUCUAGUCUAGCCCCCUGCAAUGCAGGAAUCUCAGCCAAAGACUCCGUGAUGGAUGGCCGCCCAAACUCUGCUUCAAAACAGCCAAGGAAGGAGAGACCACCAUCUUCCGAGGGAGCCUGUUCCGCUGACGAACAGCUCUGACCACCGCCAGAAAGUUAUUCCUAAUGUGUAGUUGGAAUCUCCCUCGUGGUCCUUUGACUCCAUCGUUUGGUCCUCCCCUCCAGAAGCUUGUUCCUUCUUCCCUUGAGAUAUUUGAAGAUGGCUCUCAUAUCACAUUUCAGCCUCCUCCUCUUCUCCAGGCUGAACCUCCACAGCCAAUUCAACCAUCUUGAUGGGCUUCUGACUUUUCUAGGGAUGGGAGAUGGAGAUGGAUAUGGAUGAAAAAGGUUAUUUCUUCACACCAGGAGGUAGAUCUGAAUCUUUGGGAAGGUCCCAGGGUGAUUCCUGGUGGAUCGGGAAGGGUUUCUUUCCUAAGAUGUUGACGUGCUGAGGCAGACCAUUGAGUCCAUCUGAAUCAGUGGCUCUCCAGAGUUUCAGGCAGGGCUCUCUCUUGGCCCUACUUGGAGUUGCCAGGGAUCAAACAUCGGACCUUCCACAUGCAAGGCAGGUGAUCUGCCACUGAGCCACAGCCCUUCCCUAAAAAACCAAAGCAUGGUUUUGUAUUAAGACCUCAUUUAAACAGAAGCACAGGAAGUUGCUCUCCAGAGUUUCAGAUGGGGGUUCGCCCCAGACCUGCUUGGAGAGGCCAGAGGUUGAACAGAAUACCUUCUACAUGCAAGGCAGUGUUGAUUUAAAGCAGAGUCUGUUGUGCCCAGCGGAAGGAUGAGGAAAAUGUGCUGCAUACUCCUGUUGCUUUAUUUACAGUUCAAAGCUGGUAUAUUACAGAAAGACAUCUUGCCUCUGCAAGAGCAGAAAAUGCAUCCUCUCUCCUCAACAGCUUGGAGAGAAAAAAAAAGUGAAAAACAGGAAACCAGUGUACGUCACAUCCAGUCUCCCUUUCCCGUGAGAAACUCCAACAGUACAGACUGUGGAAUGUAAAACAAUGUCUUGUGACUGCAGUUGCUGCUCAGUGAGGGAAAUAGAAACCAACAUCCUCCCCUUUCUGUGAACAUCACUGGGCAGCGUGUUCGUACAGUAUCAGUACAAACCCAACUUCUGCACAUAGGUACAGUGUUGAUCCCUUGAUACAAUCUUGGACAAUACAUCAGCAGGAAUUUCAUUACCUGGCAUAUAGGACACCGUUACGAGUCCCUUCUGAAUACAUUCCCUAGCAUGCUGCAACUUUAAUUGCAAGUGCUUUGUGCUUUGCUUACAACCUUCAGACUUCAGCAAAGCCAAACAUGCUUUGUUGUCCUGGUAAACCUGGAUUGGACAUUUGACAGGAAUUUUCAUAUCUUUGCACAAUUGUACUAACCAUUCACAAUCCUUAAGUGAAUAAGACAGUGCAUUCAGUUCGGCUUCACAAGUACUUAAGCUAACUGUUGUUUGCUUCUUGCAUGACCAAUCAAAUAGACUCUGAUUGUACAUGUAGCAAACUCCAGACGUACUUUUCCUGUCUGUAGCGUCACUUCCAAAACUUGCAUCUGCAAAUAUCUCAAGACCACCAGACUUCUGAUUGUUAAAUCUCAGUCUGUAAUGCAUAGUGCCUUUCAAAUACCGCGCUAUGCGUUUCAGAGCUUUCCAAUCCUUGACACUAGGAUUGUUGACUUGUCUGCUUAGCAAAUUACAGCUAACAGCAAUGUCUGGUCUUGAACAUCUGGCAAUGAAGUUUAGCUUGCCUAGCACACUCCUGUACAGUGUAGUGUCAGAAAAUGCUUCUUCAGUGUCAUCUACCUGAUAACCUGUUGUCAUCGGUGUGUCUACAGGGUUAGCAUCCAUCAGAUUUAGUUUGCUUAACACAUCAGCAAUUUUCCGUGACUGGUGUACUAGAAUGUUACCAUCUUGAUCUCUCUCUAUUUCCAGAGAUAGGUAGUUGUUUACCUCACCAAGAUCUUUCAUGUCAAAGUGCUCUUUCAGUUGAGCUAGGGCGCUAUUGUACAUUGCAACAUCUUUCCAAAAGAAUAAUAAAUCAUCAACAUAAAACAAACAGUACAGUUUCUUUUGCCCCUCCUCUUUGACAAAUACAUAUGGAUCAGCUUUCCCUUGCUGAAAACCUAGAGAAAACAAUACUUCAGUGAGUUUUGUGUGCCAACACCGUGCACUUUGUUUGAGACCAUAAAGGGAUUUCUUCAGAGCACAAACAAAUCCCUGUUUUACCUGUACGCCAUCAGGUGGAAGCAUAUAAAGUGAUUCAUCUAGAGAUCCGUACAGAAAAGCUGUAUUAAUAUCAUGGUGACUAAUGUGUAGAUUUUCCUCUGCAGCUAGCUUGAGCAUAAGCCUAAUGCUUUCAUAUCUCACUGUGGGUGAAUAGGUCUCGUGAUAGUCUUGACCUGGUACCUGUGCAAAACCUCUGGCUACCAAUCUGGCUUUGUGUCUGACUAUCUUGCCAUUUUGAUCUGUCUUCGCCUUGAAGACCCAUUUGCUUCCAAGCAGUUUCAUUCCUGGAACUACUGGAACUAGCUCCCAUGUUUUGUUCCUUUCUAAGGAAUCAAGCUCAGCCUUCAUGGCAUUUAACCAUGGCUCAGCUUCCUUUGAAUCCAAACCCUGGAUUUCUUGGAAACUUGAAGGUUCAAAUACCUUCUUGGAGCUUUUAACAGCUGUUACUGCUAUCUUAGCAAACUCAUCAGCAAAUCUCUUUGGAGGUUUGCCUGUUGUGGCUCUCUGUGACCUACGAAUUAUUCUUAAGUCUUCAACACUCUCCUCUUCCUUCUUAGGAGAAAAACGACCUAUUGUGAACAAUGGUUCCUCCAAUUCUUGAUCAGAGCUUUCAGAGGGUCGCAUAGAGGCUUUCGCACUCUCGAAAUCCUCUGAAUCACCCGAUUCAGUUUCAGAUUCAGACUCAGAACCUUCAUCAGUGGGUGUGGGCUGUUGUGGUUGCUUUUGACUAUCCUCAGUCUCAUCACCGUCAUCAGGAUAACAUUGGAAAAUUCCCACAUUCUCCCCCACUUUGCAUUGUACUCAACACUUCUCGUGAGCUUAAUUGUCUUAGAGUCAGUCAUCAUUAUUCUGUAAGACCCUUUCUGAUAACCUAGAAAGAUACCAUGCAAUCCACGCUUGUCUAACUUGGAGUUUUGUGGUGAGCGAACCCACAUGUCAGAACCAAAAAUCUUCAUGUGUUUGAUGUAUGGCUUCUUGCCAAACAUCUUCUCAUAGGGGGUACAACCAAUCGCUGAAGAUAAUCUGCGAUUGUAACUGUAAACAAAACACGAGAGAGAUUCGGCCCAAUAACUCUCUGGAAGAUUGGCAUCAUGCAGCAAGGUUUUUAGACCUUGAAGCAAUGUCUGAUUUGCCCGUUCCGCAAGUCCAUUCUGCCAUGGCGAGCGAGGACUAGACAAAUCGUGUUGAAUUCCUUUCUCAGUCAGAAAAGCUUCAAACUGCUGAGAAGUGAAUUCCCCCCCCGCGAUCACUGAAAAGAGUCUUUAUCUUCUUACCAUGCACAUUUUCCAACCAAGCACAGAAUUCCUUGAACCUAGGAAAAGCCUCCGAUUUCUGCUUGAGAUUGUACACAAAAAUAUAUCUAGAAAAUGCAUCAAUGAGAACCAUGAAGUAUCUAUUUCCACCCAAAGAGGGUGCUAAUGGUCCAACCAAAUCAGCAUGAACAACCUGGUAUGGUUCUGUAGCUUUCCUACUAGACACCUUACCUUUCGCAGCCAUUUUCACCUUGUUUGCUGCGCAUGCUUUGCACUUCAUGUGGUACCUGCAGGGUUUAAUAGUCAUACCUUCAACCAAGGCAGGCAUUUUAGAUACUGCCUCAAAAUGCAAAUGACCAAAUUUUCGAUGAAAAGCGUGAAUACAUUCUGCAUGCAAACUUUUGUUAGAACCUGCAAUGCAACAAGUGUCAUCCUGCACCACAUCAUCAUAAUACAAAACAAACAAAUGAUCAACAUAUUCUGCAUGCAAUACAUAAUCAUUUUUCUUUGUGAUGAUGCACUUCUUGUUCUUGAAGGAAACGUCAAUGUUCCGCUCAUUCAGCUGUCCAACGCUGAGCAGAUUAUGUUUGGCGUCUGGCACGUAAAGCACAUUCUGUAUCGAUAAGUCCAAACUGUGAAGAACAACAGUUCCGUAGCCUUUACUGGGAAUAGUGUGGUCAUCCGCCUGGUGAAUCGCACCUUCCUGCGGUGUAAAAGACACAAACAGUUUCUUAUCGUUGCACAUGUGGUGGGUGGCCGCUGAAUCAACAACGAAGAAAGAUCUAGACGUCUUCUGGACCUCUGCAACCUUUGGAGUGAAGCGUGAAACCAUAGCCUUGUGCUGCGUUGUCCUAGACACCGGACCUUUGCCUUUGCCUCGGCCUUUUCCGCGCGAUGAGCUUUCGCUGCGCUGCUCUGUCUUGGCCUUGGGAUGUCUGCAUUCCCUCUUCAUAUGGCCUAGACGUCCACACGAGUAGCAUUUGACUGCCUUCAAAGCUUUGGCGCCAUCUGGUGGUUCCACUGCACUAUGGGAUGACGUCUGUGAAGACUCUCCCUUGCCCAUGCAGCUAGCACCCCGGCGAUCUGCUUCAUUUAAAAUCACGGCAGUAACAAAGUCCACUGUCAGCUGAGCAGUUGGUUGCACAGCAAUCUGGGUUGCAACAGACUCCCAACCUGAACCCAAAGAUUGUAGUAUCAUGAAAGAAUACACAGCCUCUGGAAAGUUGAGUCCUCUCUGUUGCAGCUCAUGUCUCAGAUUUUGCAUCUGCAUCAGAUGUAAACGCACAUCUCCACCUUCAGCAAGAGCCAUAUUAUGCAGCUUGUUAAAGUAAAACAUAGUUGAUCCAGCUUCUGUCCUUAAGUGAGCCUCUCUCAGAGCGUCCCAAAUUUCUCUGGCUGAGGUCUUAUCACGCAAUAGACAGAGCUCUUCUGGGGAUACUAUCAAUGUAAGAGUUCCCCUUGCUUUGGAAUCCUUAGCUUCCCAUGCAUCUGUAACUGGAACUGGGGGGGUUUCUGUAAUCACCUCAAACAAACCCUCUUUCCGCAGAAUUGCCUCUGCAUACUGAACCCAGUCACUGUAAUUUUUCUUGUUGAGCUUAGGAAUCCUACAAGCAUCCUGAAGGGCCAUCAUGACUCUGGCAUUAGCCUUCAGCGUCAUAUGCUGCUUUAAAUCUUGCUGCGUCACUGCUGCAGCUGCCUCAUUACAAAGGCACACUUAAAAGUUACUUCGAUUUCCCCAGCAUAGUGACUUGUGCCUGGGAGCCUUUUGCCUAUUUGCAAAACCGGCUUUAAAAGUUCAAAGUCCAGCCAUAAAGCCAUUAUCUUGAAGCUGGCAGGCUGCCCGGAGCAGUAGCACAUACCUCAUCAAUCACUUCUACGCGCAGAGCAGAUUCCUUUCCGAUCCGUCCCUCUGCAUUCCGAUCCUUUGCCGGCACUCCGAUUCGACCUCUGGAGUCCAUAACCACGUGUUGAUUUAAAGCAGAGUCUGUUGUGCCCAGCGGAAGGAUGAGGAAAAUGUGCUGCAUACUCCUGUUGCUUUAUUUACAGUUCAAAGCUGGUAUAUUACAGAAAGACAUCUUGCCUCUGCAAGAGCAGAAAAUGCAUCCUCUCUCCUCAACAGCUUGGAGAGAAAAAACACAGUGAAAAACAGGAAACCAGUGUACGUCACAUCCAGUCUCCCUUUCCCGUGAGAAACUCCAACAGUACAGACUGUGGAAUGUAAAACAAUGUCUUGUGACUGCAGUUGCUGCUCAGUGAGGGAAAUAGAAACCAACAGGCAGGUGAUCUAACUCACUGAUCUAGGCACCAAGGGCAUCCCCUGGAACAUGCGUAUAUUGGGGAAAGUGGGUGUAACGAUGAAUAUAUUUAUUUUUAAAAAAGCAUACAGAACUGCGUUGUAUUAGGGGGAAUUGCUUGCCAGUGUGUGUAGAUUAGUCAAAGCUGUGUACAAAAUAGAUGUGUUUAUUAGGAGAAAUCCGCACUGAAACACUGGUGAAUUUUCACUAGGGUGUUUUUGUUUUCACUUGCAAAUUUCCCGCAGGUAAGGUGGAAAACCGAGAAAACGAGAGGACCAAAACCAACAGUUUCUGAACAGAAAGGUCACAGCCUGCUGGUGGAAGGGUAACAAAGGGAACCAAUCUAACCUCUCCUGGGAGGGAAUGCCACAAUAUGGGAGCAGCCACGGAAAAGGCCCUGCUUCGUGUCACCACCAACGAUACUUCAGGUGUGGAUGGGACUGAGAGGAGGUGCUCACCUGAGGAUCUAAGCACCUGGGCAGGUCUGUAUAAGGAGACCCCAUCUUUCAAGUGGCCUGGGUGCAAGACACUUGGAGGGGUCCUUAAUCCCUUUUCCUUUUCUGCUGAAAAUUCCUCCAAACGAACGCUCCAAAACAACUCGCACCUUGCAACGUUCUACUUUGUCUGAUGGGCCCCGAAUUCUAAUAGGACCAGAGAGGGACCAAAACCCUUUUUGCUGCAUGGAAGGAUCUUGUAAAUACUAAGGCAACACAUUCACUAGAGAGCAAGGUGUGUGUAUGUGUGUGUGUUGUGGGGCGGGCAGGGGAGAUGCACAGAGAAAGUUGGACGUUGCAUUUUGGGGCUGGGCUGCUACUUUUACGACAUCCACUGCAGCUGUUGGGUGGCAGUUGGAGCCUCGGCAAUCCUUCUGGGAUGCCGUCUGUCAAGGCUGGCUGUCGGUAUUGUUGGUUUUUUUGGAGACCAUCGCGAGUCCCACCUCCUCGGAGCUUCUGCAGCAGGCCUCCUAUUCUUAUCCCUCUCACGCAGGCCGUAGAGAAAGCCCCCCUCCCCCUCCCCUUGCAUGCAGAAUUAAUUGGGAGGAGCGCAGAAGUCAAGUAACAACAGUGGCCCGCGUUUCGGUGUCUGUUGGCUGGCAGGAUUUGGCUGGGAUGCAGCCCAGUUUGCAAGUGUGUUCACCAUGGAGACAUCUUCAUCCUUCGCUUCAUCUUUCCUUCUCUCUCCUCCCCCUCCUCCGUCUCCCGCCCAUUAUGGGAUGCUGGCCCAUUAGAGCAAAUGGUGGGGAAACUUCCCCACCAACCUCAGUCACCCCCAGGGACCGGGGUGAGAUUUGACUCGGCUCACAUUUAAAGACGAGCCCACUUACCGAACUGUUUUUCCAAAAAUUGCAUUUCCCUGAAUUUUGCAAUGCAGACUCCCAAGCAAUUUAUGUGCAUGAAAAUGCAUGUACUAGGGCAGAGGUCCCUAAUCCCUUUUUUCUUCCCCAUGCUGGAGCACUUGAGAAUUUCUGAGGGUCUUGGUUUGAACGAUUUAUCUGCCCAUUGUAGCAAUUGUCAUGUGCGGUGCUCAACGUGGCAUACUUCUUAGUUGCAUUUUUACAGACGCAUGAAUGAAGCUCACAGAUUGCUGGUGGUCUUGGGCUGCAAUUUGGAGAGCCCUUGUAUUGGGGUGUGGGCAGGGUAGAGAGUGUGUGGCUCGGGGAGAAUUCUGAGCAUCAGAUCCAGAGGCCUGAAGAUCUGCACUGCUGCAUCGAAUUUUGGCCUUAGGCCGAGAAGCAAGACACAAUUACAGCAUUAAAUGAAUGUUCCAAGCACAAUUCAAUGUAUUGGUGUUGACCUUUAAAGCCCUAAACAGCUUCAGCCCUGCAUAUCUGAAGGAGCAUCUCUAUCCCCAUUGUCCAGCCCAGACACUGAGGACCAGCUCUGAGAGCCUUCAGGUGGUUCCUUCACUGUGAGAAGUAAAGUUACAGGGAACCAGGCAGAGGGCCUUCUCAGUAGUGGCACCCGCCCUGUGGAAUGCCCUACUAUAAGAUGUCAAGGAGGUAAGUAACUAUACAACCUAAUAAUAAUAAUAAUAAUAAUUUAUUGUUUAUACCCUGCCCAUCUGGCUGGGUUUCUCCAGCCACUUUAGAAAACAUCUGAAGGCAGCCCUGAAUAGGGAAGGUUUUUUUAAAAUGUGUAUUGUUUUAUUAUGUUUCCAUAUAUGUUGGAAGCUGCCCAGAGUGGCUGGGAUACAAAUAAUAAAAUUAUUUUUGUUAUUCUUUUUGUUAUUCUGUUCUUUCCUCUGCUUAAAAACUGACAUUUGCUUUUCACCCCUGAUAUUUCCCGACUUUCAUUGCUGUUGUCUGAAAAGACAGCUGUGAUGCAAACUGAAUGCAAUGCCUGCCUCCUAACCCAGGAGUGGGAAACCUGUAGCCCUCCAGGAAAACAACAAAACAAAACAAAACAAAACAAAACAAAACGGAGUAUACAAUGCAGGACUCCUGGGGGUGGCCUAGAGAGGGGGGGUGUAGAUGGGAGAGUGCCAGGGGCCCAGUGCAGUGGCCUAGAGGUCCAAGGCACCCUUGCUGUAAGCAAGAAUUCUGAAAAAUAAUUACAAAAGGGAGGAAGGGGCAGGAGAUCUGGGGCCCAGGGCAAAAAGGCCCCAGGCCCCGUUAGCAGCACCUUUUCUCAAAACUGCGUGCACAGACUCAAUCUCCUAUCUUCCAACUUUUCUUUCUCUCUGCGCUCCAUCUUCCCCAUCCAAGCCUGGCGUCCAAUCAUGAAUAAAAUUUGGGAGCCACCGCUUCUCUUUCCAACUAGUCAAACUUAAUCCUCCUUGGACACCUUCCUCCCGCCUGUUCCCUCCCUCCCUCCUUCCCUCCCCCAAUUCAGUUGCUCAUCCGUCCACACCGAGCACCCCGGACCCUUCCUAAUGUCGGAGGCAGAUGGGCCCCUUCACAAAAGGACCCUCAGCCUCUCCAAGCUGGUCCUUCCCCAUGCCUGAUUAAACCCUAAUACAGAAGUUAGAAUUGAUACAGUGGAACUGGGGGUGAUUCAAUUAGUGCAGCAAGCAUGAAGCAAACAGCACAAAGGAGACGGGGGUAGUUAGAAAGUCAUUUUCUUUUGAUCAUUAUAGCAUUGCGCACGUGGAAGCAGAGAAUUACAGGCUCAUGUGUCUUAGCUUAAUAUCCUCUGGGGCCAGAUUUGUCGUCACGUUGAAGUUGGCUGUCAGAAUGGGAGAAAUCACGCAGAGUUGAUGAAUUUGUAGCCUGGCUUUCCAAGAGGGCGGAAGCUGGAUCCGGGGGGGGGGGGGGAUAAAUAAAAAAUAAAUGCUGUCAGGUGAAUUGUAUUCUGUACCUCUAAAACUCACCUGUUUUCUUUCUCCUCUCCCUCUCUUGCUCUGUGAAUCUUUCUCUUCCUUUCACGGUGAAAAUGCCUAACUCAGGAGCCCAGCUGGGAAUGGAAGCCAGAUGACUUGGCGCAAACCCCACCUCUCUUUCGAAGACUCCAUAUCAGGCACUGUCAAUUCAUGUGGCCUAAACGACUGUCAGCCAGCGAAACAACCGCUGUUUUGAGGAUCAAAUGCUUCUCAUGGACUUAUGCACCAUGCACUUAAAGCACAUGGACAACACAAGCGCACACUCUGCAAGAAUCUGGGAUCUGUGCUUUACCUCUCGCAGAGAGCUACAAUUCCCAUUUGCCCUAGUGGAAAAACCACCACCGCUCCACCAUUUGAGCAAAAACUGGGCAUGGUUAAAGGAAAGGGGUUGGGUUAUGAGAUCAUCUUGGCCCUUCCCCAUGCUGGCUGCUGAGGCUGCUGGGAUUUGGCGUCCAACAUCUGGAGGGCCACAAAUGUCCCCCCUUACAAACAACCGAAUGACAGGUACACAUACUUAUCUCUAUGCUAUAGAAAGUUCCUCGGCUGAUUCUAUCAACUCAGUGGUCUCUUAAAGGCACAGAAGCAAACCAGGUUGCUUCUACUCCUGGUCAGUUGGCAAGUAGGAAGUUUUUCCGAAUCCAGUCUGUUCAUCUUAAGGAAUCUCUCUCUGUCUCUCCUUUUAUCUCCUUCUAUUCUCCUAUCUCUGUCUGGCCUCCCAGAUAUGCUAAUCAGUGUGUAAGUAUAUCCUUUCAGAUAAUUAUCAUACAUUAUACUCUGCUCAACUCUGUAUAAUUUCCUCAUCUGCAUAAUCGUAUUUGACUUCCUUAUGAAUGUAAAAACCAUCUUACCUUGGGCCAGUUAAUCUUCAUUGAUUGAAUAUCAAAUUCAUUUGAAUAUGUUAGCCAAAGCUCUCCCACCGCACCCCAAGGAGUAGAGAGAGAGAGAGAGAGAGAAGGUGGAGGAAAUCACAAGAGAAACGGCUUCUGUGGCUACUUUUGCCACGAUGUUGCCUGCCCUGAUCGAUCGUGCACUUUUAGCAGCAGGAUUUUGUAUAGAUUUACCCGGUAAGUAAGUCCCAUUGUGUCCAAGGGGCUUGCUCCUAGGUAAGCAUUAGGUGUGUCAUUUCUGGUUCCCCUCAAUUUCUCAUUUCCUCACCCACCAUCUUAAGUUCAGUUCUACACCAAUUUGCAAUUUUUUUAAAUAAAAAAAAAACCUUAUGAAAAUCUUUCUGCCUUUCAAGUGCAGUUUUCUCCCAUUUUAUAAAUUUUCACAUGCGCUUCUGACUAAUGCAGACAUUUGAAAAGUUUCCCUAAUACAACAGACACUGGGAUUUUACUGCAUGUUUACAUCCCCAAGCAGCCUGCGUAGGAUGCCAGGCAAUUUGAAAUGGGGAAGCCAACGUGAUUUAUGAUCUUGGGGACUACAACACCCAUCAGUCCAAGUCAACAUGACUGUUGGUCAGGAAUGACGGGACUUGUAGUCCCUGAUAUGUGGAGGGCACCUUGUUUUAGACUCUGGACUGACUGGAGGAAGAUUAAACAACAACAAUAAACAAACAUGGC